This is a long non-coding RNA of Triticum dicoccoides, 442 nucleotides long. RefSeq lists it as uncharacterized. The record is from RefSeq and is a predicted model, not a curated record. The transcript is spliced from 3 exons. NCBI's taxonomy places the organism in Eukaryota, Viridiplantae, Streptophyta, Magnoliopsida, Poales, Poaceae.
AGUGCAGUUAGAAUAUGGAAUCCACCUCGAACUCGGUUUAAAAAACAGAAAGCAUAUGGAAUUUUGCUCUAUCAGUCUGCAGUUAUUUGGUUCAUCGUCGCGCCUCAAGUUUCCAACAGCGCCGUGGCUGUACACCGUCGACUUCGCCGGAAAUCCGUCUGCACAUACUCUACUGUCCGCCGAAACUUUGUCUGACCUGAGUUAUUUGGCUCAUCGUCACGCCUCAAGUUUCCGACAGCGCCGUGGCUGUACACCGCCGACUUUGCCGGAAAUCUGUCUGCACAUACUCUACUAUCCGCCGAAACUUCGUCUGACCUGAGGUACAUACUACAGUGUCAUCGAUUUGUAUCUGUCAUCAACUACUUACUUCUUAAGUCUGUAUAGCAUCAACUAUACUACUUAUUAAAAGGGAGAAAGAGAGGAUAUGUUAGAGCUAGAUGAA